Molecule: ribosomal RNA, 246 nt
Filed under: uncultured bacterium
Lineage: Bacteria
Description: partial 16S ribosomal RNA
Rfam family: Bacterial small subunit ribosomal RNA
Source: RNAcentral
UGGCGACCGGCGCACGGGUGAGUAACGCGUAUGCAACUUACCUAUCAGAGGGGGAUAGCCCGGCGAAAGUCGGAUUAAUACCCCAUAAAACAGGGGUCCUGCAUGGGAAUAUUUGUUAAAGAUUCAUCGCUGAUAGAUAGGCAUGCGUUCCAUUAGGCAGUUGGCGGGGUAACGGCCCACCAAACCGACGAUGGAUAGGGGUUCUGAGAGGAAGGUCCCCCACAUUGGUACUGAGACACGGACCAA